UGAAACUGAACGUACUUUGGUUAGUCAUUCUGCUUGUAUCGACUUCCGUCUGUUCAAUACAGAUACCUGUCAUAUUCCAUAGCUGUUCUUUAUUUUUCUUCCCUUGAUCGUCACCUCGUAACCAAGAACUGCUUUCCCGGCGCUCUGCGAGGAUCUUGCUACUUCGACUUCGUUGGUAUGUAUUGUCCUUGACACUUCGGAAAUCGGAAAAGGCCGCGCAAGAUAAAUUGUUGAUAUGGAUUCGAUCAAUGAAGAGGAUUUGCA
Molecule: unclassified non-coding RNA, 264 nt
Filed under: Hevea brasiliensis (rubber tree)
Lineage: Eukaryota; Viridiplantae; Streptophyta; Magnoliopsida; Malpighiales; Euphorbiaceae
Source: RNAcentral